CCUUGACAAUGCGGGCAUGGAGUUUGGGCAAUCAAGCUUGUAAUGUCACGUACCACACAUGGUAUAAAUAUAGACGCUAAACCCUCCAGCUGCACGCUGGGGAUAUCAGGACCUGGAAGAAUCUUUCAGCAGCCAAGAUGAAGCUCCAGAUUGUGGCUGCCAUUCUCCUCGUCACCAUCCUUUCCCCAAAGAGAAGCAGCGCGCAGCAGGUCGGCGCACAGGGGUCCUUGGGCGUGGGUGCAAGCCUUGAUGUGCCAGAUGUCGAGACUCCAUUUGAAGAAGCUGUUUCGG
Non-coding RNA from Caretta caretta (loggerhead turtle), 291 nucleotides. Lineage: Eukaryota; Metazoa; Chordata; Testudines; Cheloniidae. The record is from RefSeq and is a predicted model, not a curated record.